This 459-nucleotide ribosomal RNA is filed under the name uncultured Glomus. RNAcentral describes it as "SSU rRNA". It matches the Rfam family "Eukaryotic small subunit ribosomal RNA", at positions 569 to 1033 of the family's 1831-position model. The record is from RNAcentral. Lineage: Eukaryota; Fungi; Glomeromycota; Glomeromycetes; Glomerales; Glomeraceae.
AGCAGCCGCGGUAAUUCCAGCUCCAAUAGCGUAUAUUAAAGUUGUUGCAGUUAAAAAGCUCGUAGUUGAAUUUCGGGGUUAGUAGGCUGGUCAUGCCUCUGGUAUGUACUGGUCUCACUGAUUCCUCCUUCCUUAUGAACCGUAAUGCCAUUAAUUUGGUGUUGCGGGAAAUUUGGACUGUUACUUUGAAAAAUUAGAGUGUUUAAAGCAAGCUAACGCUUGAAUACAUUAGCAUGGAAUAAUGAAAUAGGACGUUCGAUCUUAUUUUGUUGGUUUCUAGGAUUGACGUAAUGAUUAAUAGGGAUAGUUGGGGGCAUUAGUAUUCAAUUGUCAGAGGUGAAAUUCUUGGAUUUAUUGAAGACUAACUACUGCGAAAGCAUUUGCCAAGGAUGUUUUCAUUAAUCAAGAAUGAAAGUUAGGGGAUCGAAGACGAUCAGAUACCGUCGUAGUCUUAACCAU